Molecule: RNA transcript, 1646 nt
Organism: Hippocampus comes (tiger tail seahorse)
Lineage: Eukaryota; Metazoa; Chordata; Actinopteri; Syngnathiformes; Syngnathidae
Gene: pcmt1
Gene name: protein-L-isoaspartate (D-aspartate) O-methyltransferase
Exons: 8
Source: RefSeq, a predicted model, not a curated record
UUUGCAGGUUGCCAGCUUCCUCGGCAAAACACUUGGCGCAGGCGCGGCACUGACGGCUGCUGUCUACCUAGUCCGCAAAGUCUGCCUAAUAAUGGCGUGGAAAUCAGGAGGAGCAAGCCACGCAGAACUCGUCAACAACCUGCGCAAAAAUGGCAUUAUUAAAUCCGACAAGGUCUACGAAGUCAUGCUGGCGACAGACCGGGCUCAUUUCUCUAGGUGUAACCCUUACAUGGACUCACCACAGUCAAUAGGCUUCCAAGCAACCAUCAGCGCCCCACAUAUGCACGCGUAUGCCCUGGAGCUUCUACACGACCAGCUGUACGAGGGUGCCAAAGCCCUGGACGUGGGCUCCGGCAGUGGAAUCCUGUCCGUUUGCUUUGCACGAAUGGUAGGCCCUGAAGGCAAAGUGGUAGGCAUUGACCACAUCAAAGAGCUGGUAGACGACGCGAUAAACAACGUGAAGAAAGAUGACCCCAGUUUGAUCACGUCGGGAAGAGUUAUGCUAAAAGUUGGAGACGGACGAAAUGGCUACUCAGACGAGGCGCCUUAUGACGCCAUCCAUGUUGGAGCAGCAGCAUCAACAGUCCCCCAAGCUCUCCUGGACCAGUUGAAGCCCGGCGGUCGUCUCAUUCUGCCCGUGGGCCCGGCAGGGGGGAACCAGAUGCUGCAGCAAUACGACAAGAUGGAGGAUGGCAGCACCAAAAUGAAGGCCCUGAUGGGGGUGAUAUAUGUGCCUUUAACGGACAAAGACAAGCAGUGGUCCAGGUGGAAGUGACUCCCUUCUCCCUGCACCCUCCUCCCGACCUCUCCUUCUCACAGCGGAAAAGGGAUGAACUCUGAACAGGAAGACAGUCCAUAAUCCACCUUUUUAAUAUCGAACCAGGACCGAAACACAGACUGGGGGGCGGGGUCAAGCAGUCCUUACAUUUUGUUCCAAAAGCCUAACAACCUCUGAUUUAAGAUCAUUCAUCAAGCGUGAUGGACUAGAAAGUAUUACUGAACCGGGGAGGAAACUGUUUGAAGCUGUACACUUUUUGAUUUACUGAAUAACAUUUUUUUUUUUUUUUUUUUGUGGUUUCCUUAUUUUGAAUGCAGUCAGCCAUAUACUUAUACAUAAUAACGUAUGUCUGCGGAAGAGAAGAGUGCUGGACUUUAAUGAUGAAAGCCUGAGCUUUUUUUGGUAAUUCACAUCGCUGCCGUGUGUGAGUCAUCUCACUUUCGAUUUCUCUGCUAAUAGAUGAUCUUAAGGCACCCCCCAGCCCAUUGCAGUAUUGGCAACACACGCUGAUGUAGCCCACAUAUCCCGUUUGAUGUGCAGCGCUCAAGACGAUGUUGUACUACACGCCUAACGAUGCAGUUAGCAUACAUACCGGCAAUGCUUUCCAUCCAAAGAGAACGGACGGACUAUUAACACCCACACGUGCAUGGCAACGUUGUGCUUUCAAGAAACAUCAAAUGCAGGCCCCGCUGGUGAUUUUCACAGUCACUGCUUUGCCAAAACAAGCUCUCAUGAAUGAAUGUCUUAUCUUGGGGGAAGAUUAAAAAAGAAAAAAAAAACAAUCUUUAAGCACAUUUAUUUUGAGUGAACUGAAGUGAUGAUUGUUAUAAAUUCCGGAGUGGCAUAUGACAAUAAAGAGUUGCUUAUG